GUGGUGGCUCAGUGGCAGCGCACUCGCCUGGCAUGUGUGAGGCACUGGGUUCGAUCCUCAGCACCACA
This 68-nucleotide transfer RNA is filed under the name Marmota monax (woodchuck). Its description in RNAcentral is "tRNA.Ala". The record is from RNAcentral. Lineage: Eukaryota; Metazoa; Chordata; Mammalia; Rodentia; Sciuridae.